AUACGGAACGUCCCAAGCUGAGAGUCAGGGCGGACCUGGACUCGGCGCGCCUAGCUCCUCGGCUCCCUUUGCGGGGACUCCAGGAGUCUGCCCGCUCGCGCCGUUUCGUCCUGUCACCCCGGCAACGGGACCCUCUAAGAGGCUUGUUCCAAAAAUGUUCACAAUGGGGUUUUUAAAAACGGUUUUGUUAGGGACAAGUGCUUGUGUGAGUCCUCCGACAAUGCCUGCUUUCUUCUCUCUGCCCGCGGAGCGGAGGCUCCAGGCCUGGCCCCAGUCCGAGGCGCCUCUGUCGGUGUCGUCCUGCUUCCAAAACCGGCCUCCAGAACCCGCCUCCUUCCAGAACCUCCGUCCAGAACCCGCCUCCCUCCAGAACCUCCGUACAGAACCCACAUCCUUCUAGCACCUGCCUCUGGAACCCACGUGCUUUCAGAACUACCUGUUUGUAGAACUUGUUUCCAGAACGAACCUGCUUUCCGAAUCUCUUUACUUCCAGAGCUUGUUUCCUGGACUGACCUAUUUUCAGAACCUACUUUCAAAACCAGCUUGCCUCCAGGACCACCUGCUUGGAGAACUGGCCUGCAGCCCCAGGACUGGACGACCUGAGACUGCACAGCUCCCUGCGGGGCUCACCCGGCUGUGUGUGUCCUUCCGGGCCUUCCAUACUUCCCUAGGUGUCUGGUGACUCCGGAGCCCGCUCGGAUUUCGUGUGGGUCUCGCCUCAGCUCAGAACACACCCUUUGAAGAGCAGGAAGGCCAGGGCACAGGCGGUAACCACGGCUCCUGGUCAUCAAGUUCCUCUGAAGCCCAGGUCUUGUCCACGUUCACUGCCCCACCACAGGCCCAGCGGAGCCUUGGAGCUGAGCCCUGGGAUCAUUCUGGUGCCUGUGCUCCCGGCUCCGCAACAAGCACACAGGAGCCUGUCAUCCCCAGAUCUAAAUCCUGAAGGCUAAGCUCCGUGGUCUGCCGCAGCCAUCUGCAGCAGGCCCCUCCCAGCAACAGCCUUCUCAUAAGGCCCCUGCCAGCCACGCGAAACCUCCUGGCUAGGGCCUGUCUUCCACUCCUGGCCUUUUGAGACAGGGCCUCACUCUGUUCCCCAGGCCGGAGUGCAGUGGUACGAUCACAGCUCACUGCAGCCUCCACCUCCUGGGCUCAUGUGAUCCUCCCACCUCAGCCUCCUGAAUAGCUGGGACUACAGGCUUGCACCACCACACCCGGCUAAUUUUUGUAUAUUUUGUAGAGACAGGGUUUCGCCACAUUGCCCAGGCCCAGGCUGGUCUCAAACUUCUGGGCUCAAGCAAUUCAUCUGCCUCAACCUCCCAAAAGUGCUGGAUUACAGGGAUGAGCCACCAUACCCGGCUUUUUUUUUUCUUUCUCCUGGCCUUUUGGGGCCCUUGAAGUGUCUGCUCCCUGGGAGCCCUUCAGCUUGUCGUCCACUUGGUGGGUUCCCACCCGUCCUUCUCACUUCUGCCUGAAUCACACAGGCUACAUGAGACCUUCACCCACCCCCUUCGCCAGCAGCUCUGUGGUUCAAGUUUCCUCAAGGUUAGGGGCUCCUGGCCAUCUUACCUGUGGGCCUGAGCAUGGGCCGAUGCUUCCAAAGUUCACACUGGGUGCACUUGUGUGGGGACUUCCAUGUGAGUCAUCUCCUUGCAGGCUGCCAAGGUCCUGUACAGCAGAGACCCAAACCCUCUUAGCAGUCUUCAGAGUCAGCUAUGUGUACAGGAGGCAUUACCAUAUCAGUGACUGUCAGCAAGCAUGUGUGACUGAAAUGGUAUCCAGUUCUUACGUAUUUGUUUUGCAGGCUUCUUGGUUCAGCAGACAGAGGCCAUUGGGAAGUUAAGAGAGGCUCUCAAACUUUGAGGGUCAUAAGACUUCCCCUCCCUGCAGGGUGCUGUUUCCUGAAGGAAAAUAUUCAAUUACUAUUUUCUUUAUUUAUUUAUUGAGAUGGAGUCUUGCUCUUGUCGCCCAGGCUGGAGUGUGUGCGUGUGCGUGUGUGCGUGUGCGUGUGUGUGCGUGCAUAUGUGCGUGUGUGCGUGUGUGUGUGUGUGUGUGUGUGUUGGAGGGGGGUGGUGCUGCCUUUUUCUUUGCAUGCUUCUGUGUUACUGGAUUUGGCACAGCAAGAAUGUAUCACUGCACUCAAAAAAUUUAGAGUUUCCUUUUUGUUUUUUUAAAUUAUUUUAGAUUUGGAGGUACAUGUGUGGGUUUGUUACAUGUGUAUUGUGCACUUCUGAAGUUUAAAAAUUUAGGGGGAAAAAUGAAAGGAUGGGAGGUGAGAAAGUAGAGGAGAAUUUUGGUGUGACAGGCAGGGAACUGGACAGCGGCGGGAGGGGCACGGCAGUGAGCGCCGGGACCUUUUGCAGAUGAGGUGAUAAUUGCUGAUGGGGCUGCUUUAUGCUCGUUUUCUCUUUUGUAAUUUAUAAAGAAAAAAAAAUUGAGACAGGGUUUCGCCCUGUUGCCCAGGCUGGUCUUGAACUUCUGAGCUCCAGUGAUCUGCCUGCCUUGGCCUCCCAAAGUGUUGGGAUUAUAGGUGUGAGCCACUGUGACUGGCCUUUUUUUUUUUUUUUGAGACAGGGUGGCUCUCUGUCGCCCAGGCUGGAGUGCAGUGGUGUGAUCACAGCUCACUUCACUGCAGCCUCAACCUCCUAGGCUCAGGCAAUCCUCCCACCUCGGUCUCCCAAGUAGCAGGGACCGCUUGCAUGCGCCACCACAUCCAGAUAACUUUUGUAUUUUUUGUAGAGAUGGGGUCUCGCUAUGUUGCCCAGGCUUGUCUCAAACUCUGGGCUCAAGCAAUUGGCCCACCUUGGCCUCCCAAAGUGCUGGGAUUACAGGUGUGAGCCGCUGUGCCUGGCCUGCUUUAUGCUUUUAUAUGGACCAGUACUUUGCAAGUGUGAGCCUGGCAGACUCUUGCUGCAACCAGGAACAUGCAGAUUUUCCAGAUGGGCAGGAACCUGGGCUCCUUUCUGAGCCUCCACAUGUCCUGGGUGAAGACCUCAAGGUCUGGAGAGACUGACUGACUCACCCAAGGCCCAAUGGCUGUGAGCGGGAAGCCAGGACUCCUCACAGCGCCAGCUUCUUCCAUGCAUGCCAGCCCAUCUGCAGAGCCCGGUCAAGCUCAGGGGAACGCCACCACUGAACCAGAGAGGCAGCCAGGAGGAGGGGGUCUAGAUAGAGAAAUGUGGAAAAAGCAGCUGAUUCCAGAAAUUUCCUGCUUGGCCUGGAUUAGGCCAUGCUGGGGACUGGCUGCCCCUUGCCCAGUGGGUGCUGGGGCAUUCAGGCUUGGGGUCUUUUAGGUCAGCCCUAAAAGUUGAUGAUUUGAUGCUGAUCGCUGGUACUUACUUCAGCUUUCCUUCUGGUUGGAAGCCUUAAUUAGUGGAGGUUGCUGACACUGUUUAUGCGCAUCGGUAUUUUUUUAGAAUGUGGAGUGGAAGAGGUGGGCUUUGGGGGACUGGCUAAACCCCAAGAAUUUAACUGGCCGUGUAUUUUGGCCACUGUUGCGCCUGUUAAGAUCUUGGAGUGUGGGUUUGCACCUGUAUUUAGAGGUGCACAAACCCACACAAAUUCAAGGAUAAAUAACUGCAAGGCCCGAAGAGAACACGCUCUCCCGCUGCACGCAGGCUGCUCAACUGUGAUGAAUGGAGUAACAGGUACCACAGGGCGAGCAGGACGCCUUCAUCAAUGGUGGUAAUAGCCACCAAUGCAUCAUCUGUGGAGGCAACAGGAGGGACGGCUGGGGCAGAAUCAACAGAACGUGAAAAUGAAUUGUUUGUAAAUACAAUCAACAGUGUUAUGUUCGUGAGAAAGCCAUUCAUCAUUCAGAAACCACCUUUAGUAAAAGAUGCACCUGGCUUCCCGGUGAGACGGGGCCAUCAAUCCCUCCCCAGUCACAGGGUCAGCUCGGGGCUGCCUAAACCCCCAGAGAACAGACACACAUAUUUAUUCUUAUUUGAAAAUAAGAGUUGUUAAAAAAAAAAAAGAGCCACUGAGAACAUUAGCUUGCCGGGAGCAUGGUAGAAGGAGCCACAUGGGGACAAAGAGAGCUCUUUAAAGCCCUCAUCUUCUGGGUGCCCUGCCAGGCCCUGGUGGGGCCUCCGUAAGCAAGGAGCACCCAGCCUGCUCUGGGACCUUCCCGGGCUGUGUGUGCUUAUGUCCCUCCCGGCCGCUGAGGGACCUUCCCAGGCUGUGGGUGCUCAUGUCCCUCCUGGGUGCUGAGUGUGCUUAGGGAGGGAGGGAGGGAGACGCCCAUGGUUGGCCUGCUGGCUUCUGGAGAACUGCACUUUUCUGGCAAAUAAAAAGAAAAGGAUAUGGGGAAGGGGAACACAUGAUUGUCCUUGGAAUGUGGCAGAGUGGCCUGCUGUGGACUUUCCUCUGGUUGCCAGUUUCAUUCUUAGGACAGUGCCUUGGUGAGGGUGCCCCGGGCACAGCACACUGGGUUUCUGCAGUGGGCACUUACUGGCACUGAUCCCAGCAGCUGGAUGCACCUGUGGCGUGUUUUAUACAACUGAAGCGACCAUGGCCUUCUGUGGUCCAGCCUGGUGCAGAGCCCACCGCCAUAGAGCAGUGAUACUGGAACGUGUGUGAGGGUUGCCGGUGGGUUCCACGGGGCGGUGGGAGGAAGAGGUGUAGAGGACUCCGACACUGUUUUGGCCUUGGCAGCUCAGAGAUGGCUGGUGUGACCACCAUACGGGGACGGUUUGGGAGGAGGAGGUUUCGGCAGGCAGAGCCUUGGGUUUGGGAUGCUGGGCUGGAGCUUCUCUCACACAGCUCAGGGGAAGGGUCCUGAAGGCUGCCGAGUCUCCAGCUCAGGGGCCAGGCUGGAGGCCAAGGUCCACACUGUAGACGUCUUUGCUAUACAGUUGCUGGGGACAGAGUGCCAGGAUAGUUCACGACAGUGGGCCCAAGGAGGAGGGCAACAGAAACAGGGUCAGGUGGCCCCCAGGAGCUCAGGGAGGAACCAGUUCCAAGGGAAGCCAGUGACCAACACAUGCGCCAUCCUGCGCCAUUGACAGCAAGACCAGGCUGCCAAGAGUGGAGGAGGCUGGUGGAGACCCUGUUGGAAGUGGUCUCAGGGGGCUUUGAGAGUGAGACCUUUUCUUUUUGAGACAGGCUGUCUCAUUCUGUUGCCCAGGCUGGAGUGCAGUGGUGUGAUCACAGCUCACUGCAGUCUUGAACUCCUGGGCUCAAACAAUCCUCCUGCCUCAGCCUCCCAAGCAGCUGGGAUUACAGGCAUGAGAAACCAUGCCUGGCUCAUUUUUGUAUUUUUUGUAGAGACAGGGUCUCCCCAUAUUGCCUAGGCUGGUCUCGAACUCCUGGGCUCAAGUGAUCCGCCAGCCUCAUGAAAGUGUUGAGAUUACAGGCAUGAGCCACUGCACCCAGCCAAAGAAUGAGAGUGCUUCAACGGGGAUUAAGGUGAGUCAGAAGAGCAGAGACGGCCAUAGGGAGUGGGCACAUUUGAAUUCUGAGGACAGGUGCAGUACUGUUUGUGGGGCCAGGGGAGGGCUGAUGGGUGGCUGGCACUUAAUAGGGGGCGUGAAGUGUUCAACCACGGUAACAGGAGAGAAGAUGGAGGGGAGCAGAGGUUUGGUGGGUGGGGGGCACAGGCGGGACAGAUGCCGUGUUGGGAGUGUGGGGUACCUCUGUGGAUUGUCCCCAGGUGUCAGUGACACAGGAAGCAAGGCCUCUGCCCAGAGUGGCCAGGGAGGGGAAGCGGGCAGGACGGGCUGAGGACAGGGGCCGGGGCCCAGCCGAGGUACAUGGAGGCUCAGAAGACCGAAGGCUGGGCUGGACCAGGGCUUAAAGGGAAGGAGAGGGGCAAGGGCCAGCCCCGUGGUGGCUCAGAUGAGGAUUGUGUCUCGCUGAAGUAUUGUGAUGCACACAAGAAAAACGUUCUUUUUUAAAAAUAUUUUAUUUAAUUUUGAGACGGAGUCUUGCGGCCGGGCAUCAUGGCUCACGCCUGUAAUCCCAGCACUUUGGGAGGCUGAGGCGGGCAGAUCACGAGAUCAGGAGAUCGAGACCAUCCUGGCCAACGUGGUGAAACUGCGUC
RNAcentral lists this long non-coding RNA (6040 nucleotides) under Homo sapiens (human). RNAcentral describes it as "HSALNT0350668". Lineage: Eukaryota; Metazoa; Chordata; Mammalia; Primates; Hominidae. The record is from RNAcentral.